CCACCCGAGGAGUUAUGCUGCAUGAUGACGGUACCUUUUAGCAAGCACCGGCUAACUCUGUGCCAGCAGCCGCGGUAAGACAGAGGGUGCAAACGUUGUUCGGAAUUACUGGGCGUAAAGCGCGUGUAGGCUGCUUGGAAAGUCGGAUGUGAAAGCCCUGGGCUCAACCUAGGAAGUGCACUCGAAACUUCCAAGCUCGAGUUUCGGAGAGGAAGGCGGAAUUCUCGGUGUAGAGGUGAAAUUCGUAGAU
RNAcentral lists this ribosomal RNA (250 nucleotides) under uncultured bacterium. RNAcentral's name for it is "partial 16S ribosomal RNA". It matches the Rfam family "Bacterial small subunit ribosomal RNA", at positions 446 to 695 of the family's 1533-position model. The record is from RNAcentral.